GACGAACGCUGGCGGCGUGCUUAACACAUGCAAGUCGAACGGAAAGGCCCUGCUUUUGUGGGGUGCUCGAGUGGCGAACGGGUGAGUAACACGUGAGUAACCUGCCCUUGACUUUGGGAUAACUUCAGGAAACUGGGGCUAAUACCGGAUAGGAGCUCCUGCUGCAUGGUGGGGGUUGGAAAGUUUCGGCGGUUGGGGAUGGACUCGCGGCUUAUCAGCUUGUUGGUGGGGUAGUGGCUUACCAAGGCUUUGACGGGUAGCCGGCCUGAGAGGGUGACCGGGCACAUUGGGACUGAGAAACGGGCAGGACUCCUACGGGGGGCAGCAGUGGGGAAUAUUGCACAAUGGGCGGAAGGCUGAUGCAGCAACGCCGCGUGCGGGAUGACGGCCUUCGGGUAGUAAACCGCUUUCGCCUGUGACGAAGCGUGAGUGACGGUAAUGGGUAAAGAAGCACCGGCUAACUACGUG
This 468-nucleotide ribosomal RNA is filed under the name uncultured bacterium. RNAcentral's name for it is "partial 16S ribosomal RNA". It matches the Rfam family "Bacterial small subunit ribosomal RNA", at positions 28 to 507 of the family's 1533-position model. The record is from RNAcentral.